This 432-nucleotide ribosomal RNA is filed under the name uncultured bacterium. RNAcentral's name for it is "partial 16S ribosomal RNA". It matches the Rfam family "Bacterial small subunit ribosomal RNA", at positions 29 to 507 of the family's 1533-position model. The record is from RNAcentral.
ACGAACGCUGGCGGCAUGCCUAACACAUGCCAGUCGAACGAGACCUUCGGGUCUAGUGGCGCCCGGGUGCGUAACGCGUGGGAACCUGCCCUUAGGUUCGGAAUAACUCCCCGAAAGGGGUGCUAAUACCGGAUAAUGUCUUCGGACCAAAGAUUUAUCGCCUUUGGAUGGGCCCGCGUUGGAUUAGCUAGUUGGUAGGGUAAAAGCCUACCAAGGCGACGAUCCAUAGCUGGUCUGAGAGGAUGAUCAGCCACACUGGGACUGAGACACGGCCCAGACUCCUACGGGAGGCGGCAGUGGGGAAUAUUGGACAAUGGGCGAAAGCCUGAUCCAGCAAUGCCGCGUGAGUGAUGAAGGCCUUAGGGUUGUAAAGCUCUUUUACCCGGGAUGAUAAUGACAGUACCGGGAGAAUAAGCUCCGGCUAACUCCGUG